RNAcentral lists this long non-coding RNA (3037 nucleotides) under Nicotiana benthamiana. RNAcentral describes it as "long non-coding RNA (NBEN_LNC030718)". Lineage: Eukaryota; Viridiplantae; Streptophyta; Magnoliopsida; Solanales; Solanaceae. The record is from RNAcentral.
UUUGAAUCCCUUCACCCCUAAUCACUUCCACCGUGAAACUCAUCAAAAUAUAUGGUUUCUCAAGCCAUGAGAGUCUUAUACUUACCUCCCCUUGCUCUUACACACCUAAUAUCUGAACACUCAAGGCCAGACCUCGAAGUUUUACGCUCAGAAAUUUGCUGAUUCAAGGUUCUAUGGUCAUCUCCGGCCUUACUCCGGCGUACCAUGGUUGUUUGAGCCUAGUUCUAACCUCUUUGACUCGGAUCGGUGACCUUUCAAAGCCUUUCUCUUCUCUAUGGUUCUUCUGAAACCUUAACUCUUUGAGUUUUUCUCCAAUUUCUCUAGAUUUGUGGGGUAUUUGUGCUCUCUUUGAGUUUUCAAAUAAAUUCCCUAACUUUUCUUUCUAAAACUACUUUAAAAAAAACCUGUCCUUUCCGAUUUAGGGUUUUCUAAAAAUGUUUAAGUAUUUUUUUUAAGAUUUUCUUUAUCAUUCGUGUGUAUUUGCCUCUAUUGUUCUCCUAUGUUUUUAUCUACCAUGUUCUUGUAUAUAUUUAGUUCUUGUAUGCUCUUUUACUGAGUUUCUAUACUUCGUUCUUGUAUGUUCUUUUACUGUAUUUUAUAUGCUCUGUGCUUGUAUGUUCUUCUACCAUAUUUUCCAAACUAUGUUCUUGUAUUUUCUUUUAUUGUAUUCUGUUAUGUUUCGCCUAUUAUAUUUUUUACUGUGUUCUUAUGAUUUUGCUAUUUUGUUUCUGCGAAUCUUGUUUGGGUUUCUCCUUAUCGAUCCACUUAAGCAUGCUUCUUUCACAGUUCUUAUCAAUAAUUGCCACUAUGUUCUUUGAAUCCUCUCGGUGCUUGCAUGAUUACUUUGCUAUCAUGUUUUCUCAUGAGUUCUGUUGCUGAAGAGGCAUGUUCUUUUCUGAGACUUCUAAUCAUGAUUUCGAUUCAAUUACCUGCCCUCUCAUCUUCGCUUUAUGGUUUGCUUGAUCUAGGGUUUUAUUUUAAGAACACCUGACUCUUUUAGACUACUUCGAGUCUUUAAAUUGAGUUUGGACUUCUUUGUUUUAUAUGACUCUGACCUUUUUGAAAACGUAGUCACUGGAUUUUCGACUGGUUUGACAAUGGCAUGACAAUUUUCUUACAUAGUUAACGUGUUCGUAUGCUCUUUACAUAUGAUGAAUCUUUCUUUCAAAAGGGGCUUUCAACUUGUGAUGAAUUCAAAAUUCCUUCUAAACAGGUCUAAUUGAUUGUUUGUUGAUUUCCCUUAAGAUAAACCUUUUCCAUCUUUCUGGCUCGGUUCAUUCAUAACAAAUCUCAAACCUCUGAUUCUUGGUUGUUAAUUGAUUUUCUUUCCUUAAAUUAUACAACCCUAUAUUUUAAAAACCCUGUACUUACAUAAACUUUAUGUAUUUUUCCUAGAUUGCAUUCUUUACACAAAGGGUUUAUUAAUUUCUUUCUCUAAUUGUCUUAUAACCCGUUUGAACCUAAAUCCCUUAAUUAAAGGGUGCUUCGUGUAAUUGAUUGACAAUCAGUUCUUUAAAUAUUUUCUUACCUUAUUUCUACCUGCUUUUUGUACUAUAAAUACAUGACCCUUUUUUCACAAAGACAUGAUUAACAAUCCUAUACUUCAGACUUCACAAUUUCACAAUCUCUUCUGAACUCACACUAUAGUAUUAUAUCUCCCUGUUUGCACUUUGUCUUUUACAAUACUACUGCUUUUUCUACAUAUAUCAUUGAAACUGAUAUGUCCUAAUUUAAAUUUCAGUAUCACCCAAUGUGGUUACUUACAAUCCUUGUAUCUAUAUCAACUUUCUUAUUUUUUGUAGAUUUCAAUAUUUAGCUUAGUAUGCCUAUGUUCUACUGCCUAUUUCGGUUAUGAACCUUGGUUCCCUAUCCCAUUACCCUUAGGUGUUUGUGAGUUGUGACUUAGGGCAUGGAAAUAUGAGUUGUUGUCCAUGAACUAAGUUUUGAACCAAUGGGGUCUUAACCUCUAAACAGGAUGGAGGGUGUGCCAGCAUAUCCCCAUUGAUGAGUAUGGCCAUUAGCUUCUUUUUUUUUGUGAUCUUGCGAACUCCCCAUUCCCUAUAUCCCUAUGUGUAUUGUUUCCUUUCCCCUUUUCCCUUUCCAGAAUUAUGCACUUGCACUUUCUCUCUUAGUUCCUAAGUUCUGCCCUCCUCUUGUGAUCCUUGCCUUGGGACCUUGAGUUACUUCUGAACUUGGACUCUUCAGAGCUAGCCCUUCCACACUAGAAUAUGACAUAAUAUGGUAAUACAUUUGAGUGUAAGCACUGCCCAGAGUCCAUAUGAAACUCUUAGGGAUCUUUGACACACCCAGAUGAGAGAAAGUCUUUGAAACAUGACCUUUGGAGUUGGUUUACUUUAAAAAUUAGACAGGAAGUCUGAAUCAGGCCCUUCUUGGUUGUAAUUUUUAAUUUCUGAUAUAUUGAUUUUUCUUUGGACUGUAGUAACUUGUAAUAAAACUUUUGGGGAUGGCUAGUGAAAAGGAAGGGGCAACCAUUCAUGUAAAAGGGUAGAUAACUUGCCGAUAGGAAUCUCUAAUUUCAGUAUUUUCUCAAAUAGUUAUCCAGCCUAUAAGAUUUCUGCAUUUUUUCAUAUAGUUACCUUACCUAUAUGAUUUCUGCAUUUUUCAUGUAGUUACCAUGCUAAUAAGGUUUUUGCAUUUUUCAUGUAGUUACCAUGCCUAUAUGAUUUCUGCACUUUUCAUAUAGUUACCAUGCUUAUAUGUAUUUCUACAUUCUCAUUAUUUACCAUGUCUGUAAGAAUCUCAAUAUUCUCAAUUAGAUGCCAUGACUAUAGGAACUUCAGCAUUCUCAUUCAGAUAUCAUGACUAUAGGGAUCUUGCACUUUCAUCUAGGUAUUGUGUCUAUAGCUUCUGCACACGCACAUAGAAAAUCUGCCUAUAUGUCCUUUCUGAUUCCUGCAUACCCGCUUUUCACUAGGCAAACUUGUCUAUAGGUCCUAAUAACCAAAAACAUAAUUAGAUAUCAUUCAACGCUUAGAUAUCAUGUUGUAGAAUUUCUGUACUCUUCUAUGUCCAUAAC